AAAGACCUUAUGCUUUUGGAGCGGCCGAUGUCUGAUUAGCUAGUUGGUAAGGUAAUGGCUUACCAAGGCGACGAUCAGUAGUUGGUCUGAGAGGACGGCCAGCCACACUGGGACUGAGACACGGCCCAGACUCCUACGGGAGGCAGCAGUGGGGAAUUUUGGACAAUGGGCGCAAGCCUGAUCCAGCAAUGCCGCGUGAGUGAAGAAGCCCUUCGGGUUGUAAAGCUCUUUCAGUUGAAAAGAAAAGGUUGUGACUAAUAAUCAUGACUCAUGACGGUAUCAACAGAAGAAGCACCGGCUAACUACGUGCCAGCAGCCGCGGUAAUACGUAGGGUGCAAGCGUUAAUCGGAAUUACUGGGCGUAAAGGGUGCGCAGGCGGUUCUGUAAGUCAGAUGUGAAAUCCCCGGGCUUAACCUGGGAACU
This 424-nucleotide ribosomal RNA is filed under the name uncultured beta proteobacterium. Its description in RNAcentral is "bacterial SSU rRNA". It matches the Rfam family "Bacterial small subunit ribosomal RNA", at positions 202 to 622 of the family's 1533-position model. Lineage: Bacteria; Pseudomonadati; Pseudomonadota; Betaproteobacteria. The record is from RNAcentral.